GAUGAACGCUAGCGGCAGGCUUAAUACAUGCAAGUCGAGGGGCAGCGGGGAGUAGCAAUACUCUGCCGGCGGCCGGCGCACGGGUGCGUAACGCGUAUGCAAUCUACCUUCAACAGGUGAAUAACCCGGAGAAAUUCGGACUAAUACACCGUAGAAUUAUGAGGAGGCAUCUCUUCGUAAUUAAAGAUUUAUCGGUUGGAGAUGAGCAUGCGUAUGAUUAGAUAGUUGGUGAGGUAACGGCUCACCAAGUCGACGAUCAUUAGGGGUUCUGAGAGGAUGAUCCCCCACACUGGUACUGAGACACGGACCAGACUCCUACGGGAGGCAGCAGUAGGGAAUAUUGGGCAAUGGUCGAGAGACUGACCCAGCCAUGCCGCGUGCAGGAAGACGGCCUUAUGGGUUGUAAACUGCUUUUACACAGGGGUAACAGUGGGUACGUGUACCUAUUUGAAAGUACUGUGAGAAUAAGGAUCGGCUAACUCCGUGCCAGCAGCCGCGGUAAUACGGAGGAUCCAAGCGUUAUCCGGAUUUAUUGGGUUUAAAGGGUGCGCAGGCUGAAUAGUAAGUCAGCGGUGAAAUCUCUCGGCUUAACCGAGGAACUGCCGUUGAUACUGCUAAUCUAGAGUUUAGACGGCGUAGGCGGAAUAUGUCAAGUAGCGGUGAAAUGCGUAGAUAUGACAUAGAACACCGAUAGGGUAGCCAGCUUACGAGGCUAAUACUGACGCUCAAGCACGAAAGCGUGGGGAUCAAACAGGAUUAGAUACCCUGGUAGUCCACGCAGUAAACGAUGAUCACUCGUUGUCGGCGAUACACAGCCGGUGGCUAAGCGAAAGUGAUAAGUGAUCCACCUGGGGAGUACGUUCGCAGUAUGAAACUCAAAUGAAUUGACGG
Molecule: ribosomal RNA, 891 nt
Filed under: uncultured bacterium
Lineage: Bacteria
Description: bacterial SSU rRNA
Rfam family: Bacterial small subunit ribosomal RNA
Source: RNAcentral